Molecule: small RNA, 780 nt
Filed under: Histoplasma capsulatum var. duboisii H88
Lineage: Eukaryota; Fungi; Ascomycota; Eurotiomycetes; Onygenales; Ajellomycetaceae
Description: Histoplasma capsulatum H88 hypothetical RNA
Source: RNAcentral
UAAGAACAGUAGUUAUUCAAUCUUUAUAAAAUUGAUUUAAUCAAAGUCUGUAUCUUCUUCUGCGUAAUUAAAUCUCAUAUCUCUUAUAGUUUCUUUUUCGUCUCUAUAUAUUUCGUCUUUGAGAUGCAAUACUUUAUAAUUAUUUAUAUGUUCUCUAUUAUAUUCAAAUCAGAUCUUUAUAUAGAUUAAUGAAUUUAAUAUUUCUUCAUUCACUUCUAACCAAAGUUUGACACUAGUAGCUUAGUCAUUGCAGUUCAGCCAAUUAGAUCAUCAUGCAGGGUGCAUUAUUUAUCGGUUAACGGGAAAUCACAGGCGAUCUUACCAUGAUCUGCCCCGUCCCAAUAUCAAAAUUACUGUCCCGAAUCAAAUUUCCUUAGAUCUAUAAAAUUAUAAAAAUAAAACAAAAAGCUCCUCGCACUUAAUAAUAUAUAAUAAUUUCUUAAAUCUUUCAUCAUAAACUACAUUAAACAAAGCUGGAUAACUGCCGAAAUCACAUGUGCAGAGAAACAUCAAAGGUUGAAGGGGUGAUAUCACAUCGAUAACGCGACCCGUGGAUAACUCUAUCUUGGUGUGUUUCAAUACUCGCAUUUCUCACCUGUUUAUUAUUUCCUUAUAUAUCUUCGUUUAUUCUUUCCUUAUUAUGUUCUCGCUACCAGAAUGCCCAAAGUAGCCGAUAACAACAACAAUAAUUAGGUUAAUCACCAACAGAUUGUGAUUUUUUAACUCUUUUUAAUUAGAAUCAGCUAAAAUAAUUAUAUACAUGUAAUUUUUAUCAAUCUC